Molecule: small nuclear RNA, 313 nt
Filed under: Peromyscus maniculatus bairdii (prairie deer mouse)
Lineage: Eukaryota; Metazoa; Chordata; Mammalia; Rodentia; Cricetidae
Description: 7SK RNA (ENSPEMG00000004318.2)
Rfam family: 7SK RNA
About the family: 7SK was discovered as an abundant small nuclear RNA in the mid-70s but a possible function has only recently been suggested.
Source: Rfam by way of RNAcentral
GGAUGUGAGGGCGGUCUGGCUGCGGUAUCUGUUACCCCAUUGAUCGCCAGGGUUGAUUCGGCUGAUCUGGCUGGCUAGGCGGGUGUCCCCUUCCUCCCUCACCACUCCAUGUGCGUCCCUCCCGAAGCUGAGCGCUUGAUCGAAGGGGAUGACUUUCCCCGAAUAGAGGAGGACCAGUCUUCGGUCAAGGGUAUACGAGUAGCUGCGCUCCCCUGCUAGAACCUCCAAACAAGCUCUCAAAGCAAUGGAGGAAGCCUGGUUGCUGUCUAUGAUGGUGAAGCAAAUGAGAGGACAGUCACUAUUCUCUUGUCUU